This 391-nucleotide unclassified non-coding RNA is filed under the name soil metagenome. RNAcentral's name for it is "partial contains 5.8S ribosomal RNA, internal transcribed spacer 2, and large subunit ribosomal RNA". The stretch from base 1 to 122 matches the Rfam family "5.8S ribosomal RNA", at positions 35 to 154 of the family's 154-position model. The record is from RNAcentral.
GAUGAAGAACGUAGCGAAAUGCGAUACUUGGUGUGAAUUGCAGAAUCCCGUGAACCAUCGAGUCUUUGAACGCAAGUUGCGCCCGAAGCCAUUAGGCCGAUGGCACGCCUGCCUGGGCGUCACACGUCGUUGCCCCCCCAUCUACUCCUUCGGGAUUGCGGGGGGCGGAUGAUGGCCUCCCGUGCGCCUCGUCGCGCGGUUGGCCUAAAUGCCAAGUCCUCGGCGACGCACGCCACGACAAUCGGUGGUUGCGAAACCUCGGUUGCCUGUCGUGUGCGGUCGUCGCGCAUCGAGGGCUCGAAAAAAUUGCCGGGCUUCGGCUCGACUUUCAACGCGACCCCAGGUCAGGCGGGGUUACCCGCUGAAUUUAAGCAUAUCAAUAAGCGGAGGA